RNAcentral lists this ribosomal RNA (505 nucleotides) under uncultured bacterium. RNAcentral describes it as "partial 16S ribosomal RNA". It matches the Rfam family "Bacterial small subunit ribosomal RNA", at positions 28 to 507 of the family's 1533-position model. The record is from RNAcentral.
GACGAACGCUGGCGGCGUGCCUAAUACAUGCAAGUAGAACGCACAGUUUAUACCGUAGCUUGCUACACCAUAGACUGUGAGUUGCGAACGGGUGAGUAACGCGUAGGUAACCUGCCUGGUAGCGGGGGAUAACUAUUGGAAACGAUAGCUAAUACCGCAUCAUAUUGAUUAUUGCAUGAUAAUUGAUUGAAAGAUGCUAUUGCAUCACUACCAGAUGGACCUGCGUUGUAUUAGCUAGUAGGUGAGGUAACGGCUCACCUAGGCGACGAUACAUAGCCGACCUGAGAGGGUGAUCGGCCACACUGGGACUGAGACACGGCCCAGACUCCUACGGGAGGCAGCAGUAGGGAAUCUUCGGCAAUGGACGAAAGUCUGACCGAGCAACGCCGCGUGAGUGAAGAAGGUUUUCGGAUCGUAAAGCUCUGUUGUAAGAGAAGAACGGGUGUGAGAGUGGAAAGUUCACACUGUGACGGUAGCUUACCAGAAAGGGACGGCUAACUACGUG